This 253-nucleotide ribosomal RNA is filed under the name uncultured bacterium. Its description in RNAcentral is "partial 16S ribosomal RNA". It matches the Rfam family "Bacterial small subunit ribosomal RNA", at positions 524 to 776 of the family's 1533-position model. The record is from RNAcentral.
UACGUAGGGUGCAAGCGUUGUCCGGAAUUAUUGGGCGUAAAGAGCGUGUAGGCGGCCAAGCAGGUCAGCUGUGAAAACUCGAGGCUCAACCUCGAGACGUCGGUUGAAACCGCUUGGCUAGAGUCCGGAAGAGGAGAGUGGAAUUCCUGGUGUAGCGGUGAAAUGCGCAGAUAUCAGGAAGAACACCAAUGGCGAAGGCAGCUCUCUGGGACGGUACUGACGCUGAGACGCGAAAGCGUGGGGAGCGAACAGG